Molecule: ribosomal RNA, 497 nt
Filed under: uncultured bacterium
Lineage: Bacteria
Description: partial 16S ribosomal RNA
Rfam family: Bacterial small subunit ribosomal RNA
Source: RNAcentral
GAUGAACGCUGGCGGCGUGCCUAAUACAUGCAAGUCGAGCGAACGGACGAGAAGCUUGCUUCUCUGAUGUUAGCGGCGGACGGGUGAGUAGCACGUGGAUAACCUACCUAUAAGACUGGGAUAACUUCGGGAAACCGGAGCUAAUACCGGAUAAUAUUUUGAACCGCAUGGUUCAAAAGUGAAAGACGGUCUUGCUGUCACUUAUAGAUGGAUCCGCGCUGCAUUAGCUAGUUGGUAAGGUAACGGCUUACCAAGGCAACGAUGCAUAGCCGACCUGAGAGGGUGAUCGGCCACACUGGAACUGAGACACGGUCCAGACUCCUACGGGAGGCAGCAGUAGGGAAUCUUCCGCAAUGGGCGAAAGCCUGACGGAGCAACGCCGCGUGAGUGAUGAAGGUCUUCGGAUCGUAAAACUCUGUUAUUAGGGAAGAUCAUAUGUGUAAGUAACUGUGCACAUCUUGACGGUACCUAAUCAGAAAGCCACGGCUAACUACGUG